RNAcentral lists this long non-coding RNA (1136 nucleotides) under Heterocephalus glaber (naked mole-rat). RNAcentral describes it as "lncRNA (ENSHGLG00100035079.1)". The record is from RNAcentral. Lineage: Eukaryota; Metazoa; Chordata; Mammalia; Rodentia; Bathyergidae.
CUUGGUUUCGCCAGAUGUGGAUGAAGAACUGAAAACAGCGCUGUUCUGAUUGGUUUCCAGCGCAGCUCUCAGCAGCCGCAGAGGCGCCCGGGCGUGUUCUGCGCAUGCGCCCUGGGUCUCCGAGGCUUGGCGGACUCGGCCCAGCGCCAGGGUCCGACCUCCGCUCCCUCCCGGAAUUCCUUAUGGUUGCCGGGGUGACGCCUCUUUUUCUUCUCGCCGCUUUCUGUGGAGAGGGGCUCAGGCUGGCCCGCUGGGGCUGCAGCUCGCCGCUUCCUGGGGUGUGCUGGUCGCUUCUCUCGUUGCUGAGACAGAAUGCCCGGCACCAGAGCUGGGCCGAGUUUACUGGGCUCACAGUCGGAGGUUGCGGCCGGGUCCGGCGGGCGCGGAAGCAGCAAGGGGCCUAACGGCGCUCUCUGCCCUGGUGGUCAGGGCGGCGCCGGGCCAGUCGCUCGGACUCUGCUUUUCAUCAUGGCUACAGCAAGUGGUGAGACAAACUGGACGUCUCCGCCGUGUGAGAGGUCAGAGCAAGGGUCAAAGUCAGAAACCCAUCUGCAAACCUCCGGGGUCUCCUGAAGUCGGCCUGAGUGCCUUGCCUUGUUUGUGUCUGUACUGGAAAAGGGCCCUGGAGCCGGAACCCCUCCUUGGGACUCUCCAAGAGGCCGAGCACUGUGAGUUGAAGGAGUGGGAAACUCCACCCCGCCUGUGUCCUUCCUGGAUCAGAGCUGACUGGGGGGCUGAAGCUGAGGUUUCUGAGGCACUUGGGGAGGGUGGCCUGGUUUCCUAGGCUAAGGAGACUCCCGGUGUGGCUGCUUCUGUAAACACAUGGGGGCUGAGAAGGGGCCUCAGUGACUUCAGUCUCCUCUCUGGGCUUCUUCAAGUGCCACACCUGGGCCUUCGCAGAAAGCAGUUGCUGAUAAAGAGCCAUGAGAGCCUGAGCACAAGGAAUUUCACGCCAGUGUCCCUGCCUUUUGCAGAAUAGAUCUAGCUGAAGAACAGUGCUGUGAUUUAGAUGAAUUCUGUACCCAUCUGUCACCAUUUCUGAGUUCAUACCGCACCAAACAGUUCUGCAAUAGGAGAUGAGCGUUUUUUUCUCUCAGAUAGUCAGGGUCCAUUUAUUUCCACUUUGAAGGGUGGAG